AUUCUGCACUCAAAGAUGGUUCUG
Molecule: non-coding RNA, 24 nt
Filed under: Arabidopsis thaliana (thale cress)
Lineage: Eukaryota; Viridiplantae; Streptophyta; Magnoliopsida; Brassicales; Brassicaceae
Source: RNAcentral